CCUACGGGUGACAGCAGUGGGGAAUAUUGCACAAUGGGGGAAACCCUGAUGCAGCGACGCCGCGUGAGUGAAGAAGUAUUUCGGUAUGUAAAGCUCUGUCAGCAGGGAAGAAAAUGACGGUACCUGACCAAGAAGCCCCGGCUAACUACGUGCCAGCAGCCGCGGUAAUACGUAGGGGGCAAGCGUUAUCCGGAUUUACUGGGGGUAAAGGGAGCGUAGACGGCAGGGCAAGUCUGGAGUGAAAGGCGGGGGCUCAACCCCCGGACUGCUCUGGAAACUGCCAGGCUGGAGUGCAGGUGAGGUAGGUGGAAUUCCUGGUGUAGCGGUGAAAUGCGUAGAUAUUAGGAGGAACACC
RNAcentral lists this ribosomal RNA (355 nucleotides) under uncultured bacterium. Its description in RNAcentral is "partial 16S ribosomal RNA". It matches the Rfam family "Bacterial small subunit ribosomal RNA", at positions 338 to 710 of the family's 1533-position model. The record is from RNAcentral.